GGGUCAGUAGGUUGGUCGUGCCACCGGUACGUACUGGUCUCACUGAUUCCUCCUUCCUGAAGAACCGUAAUGCCAUUAAUUUGGUGUUGCGGGAAAACAGGACUGUUACUUUGAAAAAAUUAGAGUGUUUAAAGCAAGCUAACGCUUGUAUACAUUAGCAUGGAAUAAUGAAAUAGGACGAUCGAUCCUAUUUUGUUGGUUUCUAGGAUUGACGUA
Molecule: ribosomal RNA, 216 nt
Filed under: Glomeromycotina sp.
Lineage: Eukaryota; Fungi; Glomeromycota
Description: partial small subunit ribosomal RNA
Rfam family: Eukaryotic small subunit ribosomal RNA (bases 40-216)
Source: RNAcentral